Long non-coding RNA from Oxyura jamaicensis (ruddy duck), 1443 nucleotides. RefSeq lists it as uncharacterized. The transcript has 3 exons. The record is from RefSeq and is a predicted model, not a curated record. NCBI's taxonomy places the organism in Eukaryota, Metazoa, Chordata, Aves, Anseriformes, Anatidae.
CAGGCUUGUGUGCAGCCAGACAUUUCCCAACGUUUCCCAAAAGUCGGUGUCUACGUUGGAGGCACGCUUUCUCGCGCCAAGCUUUGCCAUCUUCGUUUUGAAUGUCCAAAUGGAGCUGAGAGUCUCAAGCAGGCACAGACCUUUCUGACAUCCCAAGACAAUACAGUAGCCAUGGAAAGCUGAGGCCGAGGCUUUGAGGUUGUAGGCCCAGGUGCUCGUGCAGAAGCAGGAAACCAGGACUCGUUCUGUUUAAUCACGGCAGCUUUGCCUGAAGAAAAAUGGCUUUCCUGGGAAGAUCAGAAACUACUUCAGAACUGAGAGAGGGACCCGGAGCCGUUCCUUACCGAAUCCUUUCACCCUCCCCCAUUACAUUUUUCUCCAGGACUUUCCGAAUACCCAGAUCGCAGGUGCUUAAACCACAGAAGUGGCCGGAUGAAAAGGCCAGCUCCAACCACUAAUUCCCUGGAGCCUGGCGUAACCUGAGUCCCGAGCACGGAUUCUGGAUAACAGAUCUUUUGGGGUGGUGCCGCCGGACUUGAGCAGAGCCCAGUUAAGCCCAGCGAGCCCUUAAGCUGACCUGUGAGUGAAACAGCAGUUCACGGGCUGCAUAACGCUUACGUUAAUAGGUGGAGAUAUGAAUAUCCAGAGUAGUGUUUGCUAAACCCCUGAAAAUCUACUGAGAGUGUAUUUUGCAGCACUGGGGCGUUCCAAGCAAAAUCAGAGAAUACCAGUAAUGCUGGGAGUGAGGCAGUUCUCCUGCCCAGUUUUGCAGGUUCCUGACAUUUAAAGCAUUCAGGCUCUCAGAUGCUGAUCCAAACCUUACGAUGCAGUCGCUCCGGGGUGUGUUUCCAAGCAUUCAGGCAAGAUUUUUCAAAAGGUCAGGAUAUACGGUGAGGGCCAGAUUGAGGAAAAAGCUCAAAACUGCGUUUGGGCAGCUGGAUAAACCGAAGCAGCUCCUUUUAGAAUGUACCAGGUGCAGAACUGGGUGCUGCACCAUCUGAAAAAGGUCCUGAUCUGGCCAGGCUUUAAGCUGCUGCAGGAUUACGUCUCCCAAAAUAUUGUCCCAACAAGUGCAGUGCUCACCUGAGAGAUGCAGCUAGAUUUGGGAAAUCUCUGUUUCUACACCAGAAGGAACAGAUGGAUAUUAAACAAGCAGACUUCCCUAAACAUGUGUAACUGAUAAUAUGCCAAACAAACGUUUCAGGUAGGAAGUCUACAAGCAGAGCUUUUGUUUACUUAAUUGAAGCUCGGGAGAGUGGUCUCUGUGCAUCAGUGUGCUGCUGGCAAGGCUCCGGGACUGGCUGUAUCAGGUUUCUGCCUACAUUAUUUGCACGUGGGGGAGGAAAAGCCCUUCCUCCUGUGACACAGCAGCAGCCCCGAAGAGGCCAGGGCUGGAUUUUCAGCUGCCUGAGCCCUGCACAUUGGAACAGAUGUUCAGAAGUC